Molecule: long non-coding RNA, 338 nt
Filed under: Lynx canadensis (Canada lynx)
Lineage: Eukaryota; Metazoa; Chordata; Mammalia; Carnivora; Felidae
Description: Nuclear RNase P (ENSLCNG00005012017.1)
Rfam family: Nuclear RNase P
About the family: Ribonuclease P (RNase P) is a ubiquitous endoribonuclease, found in archaea, bacteria and eukarya as well as chloroplasts and mitochondria. Its best characterised activity is the generation of mature 5'-ends of tRNAs by cleaving the 5'-leader elements of precursor-tRNAs.
Source: RNAcentral
GUCAUGGGAUGAUCUUGUGGUUGUGGGACACAGCCCCACAUUGGUCUCCGUGCUGAGCAUGGAGCCUGCUUGAGAUUCUGUCUCCCUCUGCUUUUUGCCCUCCCCUGCACAUGUGUGUACUCUCUCUCUCAAAAAUAAAUAAAUAUUAAAAAAAAGAUGAACAGACAUUCCAUGAACCCUGCCCUUGGUGGGGGGGGGGGGGGGGCGGGUGUGCUAGAGGGUGCCUCCUUAAGCCAGAGCUUGGAACAGACUUUCUCCUGGCAAAGUGAGUUCAAUGGCUGAGAUAAGGUAUCCCAGCUGAGAGCCUCAUAACCCAAUUCAGACUACUCUUCUCUGUA